Ribosomal RNA from Suricata suricatta (meerkat), 119 nucleotides. The record is from Ensembl. Lineage: Eukaryota; Metazoa; Chordata; Mammalia; Carnivora; Herpestidae.
AUCUAUGGCCAUACGACUCUGAACAUGCCGGAUCUCGUCUAAUCUUGGAAGCUAAGCAGGGUCGGGCCUGGUUAGUACCUGGAUGGGAGACCGCCUGGGAAUACCGGGUGCUGUAGGCU